GUGCUCGCUUCAGCAGCAUAUAAUACUAAAAUUGGAACGAUGCAGAGAUUAGCAUGGCCCCUGUGCAAGGAUGACAAGCAAAUUUGUGAAUCAUUCCAUAUUUAA
Nomascus leucogenys (northern white-cheeked gibbon) is the source of this 105-nucleotide small nuclear RNA. The record is from Ensembl. Lineage: Eukaryota; Metazoa; Chordata; Mammalia; Primates; Hylobatidae.